UGAGGAAUAUUGGUCAAUGGGCGCGAGCCUGAACCAGCCAAGUAGCGUGAAGGAUGAAGGUCCUACGGAUUGUAAACUUCUUUUAUAAGGGAAUAAAGUCAUCUACGUGUAGGUGUUUGUAUGUACCUUAUGAAUAAGCAUCGGCUAACUCCGUGCCAGCAGCCGCGGUAAUACGGAGGAUGCGAGCGUUAUCCGGAUUUAUUGGGUUUAAAGGGAGCGUAGACGGGUCGUUAAGUCAGCUGUGAAAGUUUGGGGCUCAACCUUAAAAUUGCAGUUGACACUGGCGUCCUUGAGUACGGUUGAGGCAGGCGGAAUUCGUGGUGUAGCGGUGAAAUGCUUAGAUAUCACGAAGAACCCCGAUUGCGAAGGCAGCCUGCUAAGCUGCAACUGACAUUGAGGCUCGAAAGUGUGGGUAUCAAACAGGAUUAGAUACCCUGGUAGUCCACACGGUAAACGAUGAAUACUCGCUGUUUGCGAUAUACUGCAAGCGGCCAAGCGAAAGCGUUAAGUAUUCCACCUGGGGAGUACGCCGGCAACGGUGAAACUCAAAGGAAUUGACGGGGGCCCGCACAAGCGGAGGAACAUGUGGUUUAAUUCGAUGAUACGCGAGGAACCUUACCCGGGCUUAAAUUGCAGAUGAAUUACGGUGAAAGCCGUAAGCCGCAAGGCAUCUGUGAAGGUGCUGCAUGGUUGUCGUCAGCUCGUGCCGUGAGGUGUCGGCUUAAGUGCCAUAACGAGCGCAACCCUUGUUGUCAGUUACUAACAGGUUCCGCUGAGGACUCUGACAAGACUGCCAUCGUAAGAUGUGAGGAAGGUGGGGAUGACGUCAAAUCAGCACGGCCCUUACGUCCGGGGCUACACACGUGUUACAAUGGGGGGUACAGAGGGCCGCUACCACGCGAGUGGAUGCCAAUCCCCAAAACCUCUCUCAGUUCGGACUGGAGUCUGCAACCCGACUCCACGAAGCUGGAUUCGCUAGUAAUCGCGCAUCAGCCACGGCGCGGUGAAUACGUUCCC
Molecule: ribosomal RNA, 1017 nt
Filed under: uncultured bacterium
Lineage: Bacteria
Description: bacterial SSU rRNA
Rfam family: Bacterial small subunit ribosomal RNA
Source: RNAcentral